This 492-nucleotide ribosomal RNA is filed under the name uncultured bacterium. RNAcentral describes it as "partial 16S ribosomal RNA". It matches the Rfam family "Bacterial small subunit ribosomal RNA", at positions 29 to 507 of the family's 1533-position model. The record is from RNAcentral.
AGUGAACGCUGGCGGUAGGCCUAACACAUGCAAGUCGAACGGCAGCACAGUAAGAGCUUGCUCUUACGGGUGGCGAGUGGCGGACGGGUGAGGAAUACAUCGGAAUCUACUUUUUCGUGGGGGAUAACGUAGGGAAACUUACGAUAAUACCGCAUACGACCUACGGGUGAAAGCAGGGGAUCUUCGGACCUUGCGCGUUUGAAUGAGCCGAUGUCGGAUUAGCUAGUUGGCGGGGUAAAGGCCCACCAAGGCGACGAUCCGUAGCUGGUCUGAGAGGAUGAUCAGCCACACUGGAACUGAGACACGGUCCAGACUCCUACGGGAGGCAGCAGUGGGGAAUAUUGGACAAUGGGCGCAAGCCUGAUCCAGCCAUACCGCGUGGGUGAAGAAGGCCUUCGGGUUGUAAAGCCCUUUUGUUGGGAAAGAAAAGCAGCAGGUUAAUACCCCGCUGUUCUGACGGUACCCAAAGAAUAAGCACCGGCUAACUUCGUG